ACCAGACUCCUACGGGAGGCAGCAGUGGGGAAUAUUGCACAAUGGGGGAAACCCUGAUGCAGCGACGCCGCGUGAGUGAAGAAGUAUUUCGGUAUGUAAAGCUCUAUCAGCAGGGAAGAAAAUGACGGUACCUGACUAAGAAGCCCCGGCUAACUACGUGCCAGCAGCCGCGGUAAUACGUAGGGGGCAAGCGUUAUCCGGAUUUACUGGGUGUAAAGGGAGCGUAGACGGUGAUGCAAGUCAGAAGUGAAAGCCCGGGGCUCAACUCCGGGACUGCUUUUGAAACUGUGUAACUGGAGUGCAGGAGAGGUAAGCGGAAUUCCUAGUGUAGCGGUGAAAUGCGUAGAUAUUAGGAGGAACACCAGUGGCGAAGGCGGCUUACUGGACUGUAACUGACGUUGAGGCUCGAAAGCGUGGGGAGCAAACAGGAUUAGAUACCCUAGUAGUA
Molecule: ribosomal RNA, 448 nt
Filed under: uncultured bacterium
Lineage: Bacteria
Description: bacterial SSU rRNA
Rfam family: Bacterial small subunit ribosomal RNA
Source: RNAcentral